UACGUAGGGGGCAAGCGUUAUCCGGAUUUACUGGGCGUAAAGGGGGCGCAGACGGCGAUGCAAGCCAGGAGUGAAAGCCCGGGGCCCAACCCCGGGACUGCUCUUGGAACUGCGUGGCUGGAGUGCAGGAGGGGCAGGCGGAAUUCCUGGUGUAGCGGUGAAAUGCGUAGAUAUCAGGAGGAACACCGGUGGCGAAGGCGGCCUGCUGGACUGCAACUGACGUUGAGGCCCGAAAGCGUGGGGAGCAAACAGG
RNAcentral lists this ribosomal RNA (253 nucleotides) under uncultured bacterium. RNAcentral describes it as "partial 16S ribosomal RNA". It matches the Rfam family "Bacterial small subunit ribosomal RNA", at positions 524 to 776 of the family's 1533-position model. The record is from RNAcentral.